Molecule: ribosomal RNA, 255 nt
Filed under: uncultured Sphingobacteriia bacterium
Lineage: Bacteria; Pseudomonadati; Bacteroidota; Sphingobacteriia
Description: partial 16S ribosomal RNA
Rfam family: Bacterial small subunit ribosomal RNA
Source: RNAcentral
UCCACGCCCUAAACGAUGUAUACUCGGCGUUUGAUCUUCGGAUUGGGCGCCCAAGGGAAACCGUUAAGUAUACCACCUGGGGAGUACGUUCGCAAGAAUGAAACUCAAAGGAAUUGACGGGGGUCCGCACAAGCGGGUGGAGCAUGUGGUUUAAUUCGAUGAUACGCGAGGAACCUUACCUGGGCUCGAACGCUACUAGACAGGGAGUGAAAGCUCCUUUCCCUUCGGGGCUGAUAGUGAGGUGCUGCAUGGUUG